This 31-nucleotide non-coding RNA is filed under the name Homo sapiens (human). The record is from RNAcentral. Lineage: Eukaryota; Metazoa; Chordata; Mammalia; Primates; Hominidae.
UGAGGAGUGCCUCUACCCGGCUGCGACCCCC